RNAcentral lists this ribosomal RNA (417 nucleotides) under uncultured bacterium. RNAcentral's name for it is "bacterial SSU rRNA". It matches the Rfam family "Bacterial small subunit ribosomal RNA", at positions 29 to 490 of the family's 1533-position model. The record is from RNAcentral.
AACGAACGCUGGCGGCAUGCCUAACACAUGCAAGUCGAACGAGACCUUCGGGUCUAGUGGCGCACGGGUGCGUAACGCGUGGGAAUCUGCCCUUGGGUUCGGAAUAACAGCGAGAAAUUGCUGCUAAUACCGGAUGAUGACGUAAGUCCAAAGAUUUAUCGCCCAAGGAUGAGCCCGCGUAGGAUUAGCUAGUUGGUGAGGUAAAGGCUCACCAAGGCGACGAUCCUUAGCUGGUCUGAGAGGAUGAUCAGCCACACUGGGACUGAGACACGGCCCAGACUCCUACGGGAGGCAGCAGUGGGGAAUAUUGGACAAUGGGCGAAAGCCUGAUCCAGCAAUGCCGCGUGAGUGAUGAAGGCCUUAGGGUUGUAAAGCUCUCUUACCAGGGAUGAUAAUAGACAGUACCUGGAGAAUAAG